Molecule: ribosomal RNA, 371 nt
Filed under: uncultured bacterium
Lineage: Bacteria
Description: bacterial SSU rRNA
Rfam family: Bacterial small subunit ribosomal RNA
Source: RNAcentral
AGAGGGUGCAAGCGUUGCUCGGAUUUACUGGGCGUAAAGCGUACGCAGACGGCCACGCAGGUCGGGUGUGAAAGCCCCGGGCUCAACCCGGGAACUGCAUUCGAAACCAUGUGGCUUGAGUGUGGGAGAGGAAAGUGGAAUUCCUGGUGUAGAGGUGAAAUUCGUAGAUAUCAGGAGGAACACCGGCGGCGAAGGCGGCUUUCUGGUCCACAACUGACGUUCAGGUACGAAAGCGUGGGGAGCAAACAGGAUUAGAUACCCUGGUAGUCCACGCUGUAAACGAUGAGUGCUGGAUGUCGGGGGUAUUCACCCCCUCGGUAUCGAAGCUAACGCGUUAAGCACUCCGCCUGGGGAGUACGGCCGCAAGGUUG